AGCUCACUAGUCGAGUGACACUGCGCCGAAAAUGUACCGGGGCUAAACAUAUUACCGAAGCUGUGGAUUGUCCUUUGGACAAUGGUAGGAGAGCGUUCUAAGGGCGUUGAAGCAUGAUCGUAAGGACAUGUGGAGCGCUUAGAAGUGAGAAUGCCGGUGUGAGUAGCGAAAGACGGGUGAGAAUCCCGUCCACCGAUUGACUAAGGUUUCCAGAGGAAGGCUCGUCCGCUCUGGGUUAGUCGGGUCCUAAGCUGAGGCCGACAGGCGUAGGCGAUGGAUAACAGGUUGAUAUUCCUGUACCACCUAUAAUCGUUUUAAUCGAUGGGGGGACGCAGUAGGAUAGGCGAAGCGUGCGAUUGGAUUGCACGUCUAAGCAGUAAGGCUGAGUAUUAGGCAAAUCCGGUACUCGUUAAGGCUGAGCUGUGAUGGGGAGAAGACAUUGUGUCUUCGAGUCGUUGAUUUCACACUGCCGAGAAAAGCCUCUAGAUAGAAAAUAGGUGCCCGUACCGCAAACCGACACAGGUAGUCAAGAUGAGAAUUCUAAGGUGAGCGAGCGAACUCUCGUUAAGGAACUCGGCAAAAUGACCCCGUAACUUCGGGAGAAGGGGUGCUCUUUAGGGUUAACGCCCAGAAGAGCCGCAGUGAAUAGGCCCAAGCGACUGUUUAUCAAAAACACAGGUCUCUGCUAAACCGUAAGGUGAUGUAUAGGGGCUGACGCCUGCCCGGUGCUGGAAGGUUAAGAGGAGUGGUUAGCUUCUGCGAAGCUACGAAUCGAAGCCCCAGUAAACGGCGGCCGUAACUAUAACGGUCCUAAGGUAGCGAAAUUCCUUGUCGGGUAAGUUCCGACCCGCACGAAAGGCGUAACGAUUUGGGCACUGUCUCAACGAGAGACUCGGUGAAAUCAUAGUACCUGUGAAGAUGCAGGUUACCCGCGACAGGACGGAAAGACCCCGUGGAGCUUUACUGUAGCCUGAUAUUGAAAUUCGGCACAGCUUGUACAGGAUAGGUAGGAGCCUUUGAAACGUGAGCGCUAGCUUACGUGGAGGCGCUGGUGGGAUACUACCCUAGCUGUGUUGGCUUUCUAACCCGCACCACUUAUCGUGGUGGGAGACAGUGUCAGGCGGGCAGUUUGACUGGGGCGGUCGCCUCCUAAAAGGUAACGGAGGCGCUCAAAGGUUCCCUCAGAAUGGUUGGAAAUCAUUCAUAGAGUGUAAAGGCAUAAGGGAGCUUGACUGCGAGACCUACAAGUCGAGCAGGGUCGAAAGACGGACUUAGUGAUCCGGUGGUUCCGCAUGGAAGGGCCAUCGCUCAACGGAUAAAAGCUACCCCGGGGAUAACAGGCUUAUCUCCCCCAAGAGUUCACAUCGACGGGGAGGUUUGGCACCUCGAUGUCGGCUCAUCGCAUCCUGGGGC
RNAcentral lists this ribosomal RNA (1413 nucleotides) under Staphylococcus aureus. Its description in RNAcentral is "partial 23S ribosomal RNA". It matches the Rfam family "Bacterial large subunit ribosomal RNA", at positions 1139 to 2553 of the family's 2925-position model. Lineage: Bacteria; Bacillati; Bacillota; Bacilli; Caryophanales; Staphylococcaceae. The record is from RNAcentral.